Molecule: non-coding RNA, 45 nt
Organism: Schistosoma margrebowiei
Lineage: Eukaryota; Metazoa; Platyhelminthes; Trematoda; Strigeidida; Schistosomatidae
Source: Rfam
AUCCAGUUGACAAGUCCCAAAUAGGACGAAGCCUGCGUCCUGCAU